AUAGCCAAGGUUAAAAAAGAUUAUAUAAGUUCGAGAUACGGUCGAAUGUUUCUACUAACUGCCUCAAACAGUUAACUAUAAUCCCCAUUGGGGCAUAG
This 98-nucleotide non-coding RNA is filed under the name Eubacterium sp. RNAcentral's name for it is "Guanine sequence". It matches the Rfam family "Purine riboswitch aptamer". From Rfam's summary of the family: Riboswitches are metabolite binding domains within certain messenger RNAs that serve as precision sensors for their corresponding targets. Allosteric rearrangement of mRNA structure is mediated by ligand binding, and this results in modulation of gene expression. A class of riboswitches that selectively recognises guanine and becomes saturated at concentrations as low as 5 nM. Lineage: Bacteria; Bacillati; Bacillota; Clostridia; Eubacteriales; Eubacteriaceae. The record is from RNAcentral.